This 429-nucleotide ribosomal RNA is filed under the name Bacteroidota bacterium. Its description in RNAcentral is "Bacteroidetes bacterium partial 16S ribosomal RNA". It matches the Rfam family "Bacterial small subunit ribosomal RNA", at positions 355 to 776 of the family's 1533-position model. The record is from RNAcentral. Lineage: Bacteria; Pseudomonadati; Bacteroidota.
UAGGGAAUCUUCCGCAAUGGGCGAAAGCCUGACGGAGCAACGCCGCGUGAGUGAUGAAGGUCUUCGGAUCGUAAAACUCUGUUAUUAGGGAAGAACAAAUGUGUAAGUAACUAUGCACGUCUUGACGGUACCUAAUCAGAAAGCCACGGCUAACUACGUGCCAGCAGCCGCGGUAAUACGUAGGUGGCAAGCGUUAUCCGGAAUUAUUGGGCGUAAAGCGCGCGUAGGCGGUUUUUUAAGUCUGAUGUGAAAGCCCACGGCUCAACCGUGGAGGGUCGUUGGAAACUGGAAAACUUGAGUGCAGAAGAGGAAAGUGGAAUUCCAUGUGUAGCGGUGAAAUGCGCAGAGAUAUGGAGGAACACCAGUGGCGAAGGCGACUUUCUGGUCUGUAACUGACGCUGAUGUGCGAAAGCGUGGGAAUCAAACAGG